CGAAAGCCUGACGGAGCAAGACCGCGUGAGGGAGGAAGGCUCUUGGGUUGUAAACCUCUUUUCUCUGGGAAGAACAAAAUGACGGUACCAGAGGAAUCAGCAUCGGCUAACUCCGUGCCAGCAGCCGCGGUAAGACGGAGGAUGCAAGCGUUAUCCGGAAUGAUUGGGCGUAAAGCGUCCGCAGGUGGCAAAUCAAGUCUGCUGUUAAAGCGCAGGGCUUAACUCUGUAAAGGCAGUGGAAACUGAUUAGCUAGAGUAUGGUAGGGGUAGAGGGAAUUCCCAGUGUAGCGGUGAAAUGCGUAGAGAUUGGGAAGAACAUCGGUGGCGAAGGCGCUCUGCUGGACCAUAACUGACACUCACAGGACGAAAG
This 370-nucleotide ribosomal RNA is filed under the name uncultured cyanobacterium. RNAcentral describes it as "bacterial SSU rRNA". It matches the Rfam family "Bacterial small subunit ribosomal RNA", at positions 376 to 759 of the family's 1533-position model. Lineage: Bacteria; Bacillati; Cyanobacteriota. The record is from RNAcentral.